This 406-nucleotide ribosomal RNA is filed under the name uncultured bacterium. RNAcentral's name for it is "partial 16S ribosomal RNA". It matches the Rfam family "Bacterial small subunit ribosomal RNA", at positions 30 to 526 of the family's 1533-position model. The record is from RNAcentral.
AUUGAACGCUGGCGGGAGGCUUAACACAUGCAAGUCGAGCGAGUGGCGGACGGGUGAGUAAUGUCUGGGAACGUGCCCAAUGGAGGGGGAUAACUACUGGAAACGGUAGCUAAUACCGCAUACCAUCUGAUGUGCCCAUAUGGUAUUAGCUAGUUGGUGGGGUAAUGGCUCACCAAGGCAACGAUCCCUAGCUGGUUGGAGAGGAUGACCAGCCACACUGGAACUGAGACACGGCCCAGACGCCUACGGGAGGCAGCAGUGGGGAAUUUUGCACAAUGGGCGCAACCCUGAUGCAGCCAUGCCGCGUGUAUGAAGAAGGCCUUCGGGUUGUAAAGUACUUUCGGCGGAGAGGCGUUAUCCGCAGAAGAAGCACCGGCUAACUCCGUGCCAGCAGCCGCGGUAAUAC